CGGGGUGUAGCUCAAUCAGAGCGCCGGUCAUGGGGACCGGAGUGUGGCAGGUUUCAAUCCUCCCACCCCGACCA
RNAcentral lists this transfer RNA (74 nucleotides) under Candidatus Yonathbacteria bacterium RIFOXYD1_FULL_52_36. Its description in RNAcentral is "tRNA-Pro". Lineage: Bacteria; Candidatus Yonathiibacteriota. The record is from RNAcentral.